RNAcentral lists this ribosomal RNA (465 nucleotides) under uncultured bacterium. Its description in RNAcentral is "partial 16S ribosomal RNA". It matches the Rfam family "Bacterial small subunit ribosomal RNA", at positions 28 to 507 of the family's 1533-position model. The record is from RNAcentral.
GAUGAACGCUGGCGGCGUGCUUAACACAUGCAAGUCGAACGGAAAGGCCCAAGCUUGCUUGGGUACUCGAGUGGCGAACGGGUGAGUAACACGUGGGUGAUCUGCCCUGCACUUCGGGAUAAGCCUGGGAAACUGGGUCUAAUACCGGAUAGGACCACAUUUUGGAUGGUGUGGUGGAAAGUUUUUCGGUGUGGGAUGAGCUCGCGGCCUAUCAGCUUGUUGGUGGGGUAAUGGCCUACCAGGGCGUCGACGGGUAGCCGGCCUGAGAGGGUGUACGGCCACAUUGGGACUGAGAUACGGCCCAGACUCCUACGGGAGGCAGCAGUGGGGAAUAUUGCACAAUGGGCGCAAGCCUGAUGCAGCGACGCCGCGUGGGGGAUGACGGCCUUCGGGUUGUAAACUCCUUUCGCUAGGGACGAAGCGCAAGUGACGGUACCUGGAGAAGAAGCACCGGCUAACUACGUG